This 345-nucleotide unclassified non-coding RNA is filed under the name soil metagenome. RNAcentral's name for it is "partial contains 5.8S ribosomal RNA, internal transcribed spacer 2, and large subunit ribosomal RNA". The stretch from base 1 to 120 matches the Rfam family "5.8S ribosomal RNA", at positions 35 to 154 of the family's 154-position model. The record is from RNAcentral.
GAUGAAGAACGCAGCGAAAUGCGAUACGUAAUGUGAAUUGCAGAAUUCAGUGAAUCAUCGAGUCUUGGAACGCACAUUGCGCCCCCUCGUAUUCCGGGGGGCAUGCCUGUCCGAGCGUCAUUGCUGCCCUCAAGCACGGCUUGUGUGUUGGGCCUCCGUCCUCCUCCCGGGGGACGGGCCCGAAAGGCAGCGGCGGCACCGCGUCCGGUCCUCGAGCGUAUGGGGCUUCGUCACCCGCUCUUGUAGGCCCGGCCGGCGCUUGCCGACACAUCAAUCUUUUUUCCAGGUUGACCUCGGAUCAGGUAGGGAUACCCGCUGAACUUAAGCAUAUCAAUAAGCGGAGGA